Molecule: long non-coding RNA, 418 nt
Filed under: Eutrema salsugineum
Lineage: Eukaryota; Viridiplantae; Streptophyta; Magnoliopsida; Brassicales; Brassicaceae
Description: long non-coding RNA (ESAL_LNC000016)
Source: RNAcentral
AACAGAGAGAGAGAUUUUGUCUCAGCUUGAUCACCCGUUCUUGCCCACGUUAUACUCUCACUUCGAGACCGAUAAACACUAUUGCUUGGUCAUGGAGUUUUGCGGCGGUGGCAAUCUCUAUUCCUUGAGACAGAAGCAACCUAACAAGUGCUUCACCGAAGAAGCAGCGAGGUUAGUAUCAAAGGAGUGUAGGAAGAAACAGAACAUUUCUCUGUAGAAUUCAAAAAUCGAUAUAAUUUAGGGUUUUCUUUAAUUUCUUACAGAUUCUUUGCUUCCGAAGUGCUAUUGGCAUUGGAGUACUUGCACAUGCUCGGAAUCGUAUACCGAGAUUUGAAGCCGGAGAAUGUUCUGGUAAGAGACGACGGACACAUUAUGCUUUCCGAUUUCGAUUUAUCUCUCCGAUGCUCAGUCAGUCCAA